This 484-nucleotide ribosomal RNA is filed under the name uncultured bacterium. RNAcentral describes it as "partial 16S ribosomal RNA". It matches the Rfam family "Bacterial small subunit ribosomal RNA", at positions 30 to 507 of the family's 1533-position model. The record is from RNAcentral.
AUUGAACGCUGGCGGCAGGCCUAACACAUGCAAGUCGAGCGGAUGAAGGGAGCUUGCUCCUGGAUUCAGCGGCGGAUGGGUGAGUAAUGCCUAGGAAUCUGCCUGGUAGUGGGGGAUAACGUCCGGGAACGGGCGCUAGUACCGCAUACGUCCUGAGGGAGAAAGUGGGGGAUCUUCGGACCUCACGCUAUCAGAUGAGCCUAGGUCGGAUUAGCUAGUUGGUGGGGUAAAGGCCUACCAAGGCGACGAUCCGUAACUGGUCUGAGAGGAUGAUCAGUCACACUGGAACUGAGACACGGUCCAGACUCCUACGGGAGGCAGCAGUGGGGAAUAUUGGACAAUAGGCGAAAGCCUUAUCCAGCCAUGCCGCGUGUGUGAAGAAGGUCUUCGGAUUGUAAAGCACUUUAAGUUGGGAGGAAGGGCAGUAAGUUAAUACCUUGCUGUUUUGACGUUACCAACAGAAUAAGCACAGGCUAACUUCGUG